AGUGUAGGCGGCUACUUAAGUCGGAUGUGAAAUCCCCGGGCUCAACCUGGGAAUUGCAUUCGAUACUGGGUAGCUAGAAUUUGGUAGAGGUAAGUGGAAUUCCGGGUGUAGCGGUGAAAUGCGUAGAUAUCCGGAGGAACAUCAGUGGCGAAGGCGGCUUACUGGACCAAAAUUGACGCUGAGGCUCGAAAGCGUGGGGAGCAAACA
This 207-nucleotide ribosomal RNA is filed under the name uncultured bacterium. RNAcentral describes it as "partial 16S ribosomal RNA". It matches the Rfam family "Bacterial small subunit ribosomal RNA", at positions 568 to 774 of the family's 1533-position model. The record is from RNAcentral.